UAUACGACUCUCGGCAACGGAUAUCUCGGCUCUCGCAUCGAUGAAGAACGUAGCGAAAUGCGAUACUUGGUGUGAAUUGCAGAAUCCCGUGUUCCAUCGAGUCUUUGAACGCAAGUUGCGCCCGAGGCCUUUCGGUUGAGGGCACGCCUGCCUGGGCGUCACGC
Molecule: ribosomal RNA, 164 nt
Filed under: Lilium candidum
Lineage: Eukaryota; Viridiplantae; Streptophyta; Magnoliopsida; Liliales; Liliaceae
Also listed under: 5 other names
Description: 5.8S ribosomal RNA
Rfam family: 5.8S ribosomal RNA
About the family: 5.8S ribosomal RNA (5.8S rRNA) is a component of the large subunit of the eukaryotic ribosome. It is transcribed by RNA polymerase I as part of the 45S precursor that also contains 18S and 28S rRNA. Functionally, it is thought that 5.8S rRNA may be involved in ribosome translocation.
Source: RNAcentral